CGCGGGAUGGAGCAGUCUGGUAGCUCGUCGGGCUCAUAACCCGAAGGUCGUUGGUUCAAAUCCGACUCCCGCAACCA
This 77-nucleotide transfer RNA is filed under the name Arsenophonus sp. Its description in RNAcentral is "tRNA-Met". It matches the Rfam family "tRNA". From Rfam's summary of the family: Transfer RNA (tRNA) molecules are approximately 80 nucleotides in length. Their secondary structure includes four short double-helical elements and three loops (D, anti-codon, and T loops). Lineage: Bacteria; Pseudomonadati; Pseudomonadota; Gammaproteobacteria; Enterobacterales; Morganellaceae. The record is from RNAcentral.